AGGAAUCUUAGGGGGUGGUUUUCUUUUUCUUUCUCUUUUUCUUUUCUUUUUUCUACAGAGAGUAAUGUGGAAGCAUGAAGUUGGUCAUGAAACACUGAUCAAAGCCAUCUUUCAUCAGGCCCAAGUAAAUACAUGCACAGUGUUGUUCUCAAUGCUUGUGUAGUAAACCCACACAGUAACCCACAAAGGCCUCUAUCACCUUUCUGAACCCAUCUACAAUGGACGAAGGGAUUCAUUGACUAAAGACCCUGAAAUAAAGAAAGAUACACAGUUACCAAGAGACCAACAUAAUUUUACAUUUCUCCUGACCCUACUGAUCCGUGAAAUUAUAACUGUGAAACAGAUCUCCUCUAAAGUGAAAUAUAUAUGAGAUAUAUAUGUGUAUACACACACAAACGUACACAUAUGAUCCUUCCAAUCCUUUGGGAUUUUAAAUGGCGUCUUCAAGAAAACAACACAUAAGAGUGAAAUCUACAGAUGCUCAGAGAAACAGCCUCUCUCUCUCUCUCUCUCUCUCUCUCUCUCUCUCUCUCUCUCUCUCCUAACUCUGGGGUGGGGGUGGGGCAGCAGAAGCAUCAGCAGUCAGGGGUGGCUUUUUUUGGAGCAAAGGCAUUAGACAAGAUGACACGCUGACAGGUUCAGAAAACAGAGGAUGUCGUGCCAAUCAGCAGAUAAUUUCUAUGUGUUUGCAGCGUAGGAAGAAGUGUGAGUCACGCAGUAUUUCAAAGGCAGGUCACAAUUGCUGUUUGUCAUCUUGCAAUGUGAAGGUCAAGAGACAGGAGAAGGUGGGUGGACGCCGAGAGGAGACCUGCUUGCAAUCAGAUCAACCAUAGCCAGACAGGCCCUGCUUCAUGGCUCUGACAGUGCCCAGGGAGCCUGUGUAAUUACUGCCGGAACUGACAUCUGAGGCUCUCACCUCCAGCAGCCGCAAGGGAAAGAUAUUACACAAUCGAGCUUUCUCAAAUUCGGAGAGAACUUGCAUACCAACUAGCUUCCCUCCAAAACCGGUUUCAUGGAGCACCGAUGAGUCAAGAGCGCCACCUGGUGUCCUACCUUGGGAUCUUAAAGAGCAUUUUCACAGGAUGCAUUUCAAAGAGGGGAGGGUCUCCAUCGCCCAGCUCAAUGGCUGUGAUGCCCAAGGACCAGACGUCACAACGAGCGUCAUAGGAUGAGUCAUACUGCUGCUCACAAGCAAUGACCUAUCAGACAAAAACAAGACAAACACAUCAGGCCACUCUCACCCCAGAUGCCUUGAAAACCUUGUUGUUCCAUUGACCAAGCAAAUGUUGAAUGAAUGGGAGCAAUGAGAUGUUUGUAGGCUAGAUAGACUUUGUCUGUGCAUAACUGAUUCAUCAUCUGA
This is a long non-coding RNA of Mastomys coucha (southern multimammate mouse), 1360 nucleotides long. RefSeq lists it as uncharacterized. The transcript is spliced from 2 exons. Lineage: Eukaryota; Metazoa; Chordata; Mammalia; Rodentia; Muridae. The record is from RefSeq and is a predicted model, not a curated record.